GUCUUCUACCUAAGAAUUCUGUCUCUUAGGCUUUCUCUUUCCCAGUUUUCCCAAAGUUGGGAAAAGCUGGGUUGAGAGGGCAAAAGGAAAAAAAAAAAGAAUUCUGUCUCUGACACAAUUAAAUAGGGAA
MicroRNA precursor from Rhinopithecus roxellana (golden snub-nosed monkey), 130 nucleotides. The record is from Ensembl. NCBI's taxonomy places the organism in Eukaryota, Metazoa, Chordata, Mammalia, Primates, Cercopithecidae.